CAGCCGCCACGGUAAUACGAAGGGUGCAAGCGUUAAUCGGAAUUACUGGGCGUAAAGAGCUCGUAGGCGGUUUGUCGCGUCUGCCGUGAAAGUCCGGGGCUCAACCCCGGAUCUGCGGUGGGUACGGGCAGACUAGAGUGAUGUAGGGGAGACUGGAAUUCCUGGUGUAGCGGUGAAAUGCGCAGAUAACAGGAGGAACACCGAUGGCGAAGGCAGGUCUCUGGGCAUUAACUGACGCUGAGGAGCGAAAGCAUGGGGAGCGAACAGGAUUAGAUACCCGUGUAGUCCCUGUCUCUUAUAC
RNAcentral lists this ribosomal RNA (301 nucleotides) under uncultured bacterium. RNAcentral's name for it is "partial 16S ribosomal RNA". It matches the Rfam family "Bacterial small subunit ribosomal RNA", at positions 509 to 807 of the family's 1533-position model. The record is from RNAcentral.